Drosophila melanogaster (fruit fly) is the source of this 1364-nucleotide non-coding RNA. Lineage: Eukaryota; Metazoa; Arthropoda; Insecta; Diptera; Drosophilidae. The record is from Ensembl.
AGUUGAAUAAAGAACCUCAUAAAGAGCAGAAGCUCUUCUCUUGUUAUUUAAAGUGUACUUUAGCAAAAUACUAAUAUCUCCUAAAUAUCAAACAUUACACAAGGAAAGUACUCUUCUGGCUGCAAUGGACCCGCAAAACUUUUAGUCCUUUCUAAUGUACCGAGCUUGAGAAAUUAUGGAGACCACGAGCGCUAAUCAAUGGCGCUGGGUUCCGACGAAGCUAAACGUAGCAGACUUGGCAACAAAGUUCAUUUCUAAACCCUAAGCGUCGCCUAAUGUAUUAAUGGUCCGCUGUUUCUUCGAUAACCAGACAAGCACACUGGACGCACCGUUUCGGAUAGCGAGCGAAACGAGAUUCGAAAAACGAACUUGGUGGUAAAGAUAUCAAACAUACAAGCGAUCCAAGUAAACGACGAGGGUUUUUUUUAUAUAGAGCCACCGCUACGUUUCUCCUAUACGUAGCCAGCCACCCUUCGAACUAGAUGCAAACUUGAAAAAAUUGUGAAGACUGUAACCUUUGAACAAAUUAAGUACGCUAAGGGUAUACAGUUCAGAGAAGCUCAACGAGAUACCGUAUAUAAAUCGGUCCGAAAAUGUUGUCAGAGAUGUAAAAACAAUUCCGCCAAAAUGUCACCAUUGCCACCUGCCAGGGUCGCCAUGAAGCCAUUUACCUACACCGGGGUAGAUUUUUUGGAUAUAUCCUCGUGACCGUGGGAAAAACGUUCAAUUAGAAAUAUACUACAGCUUGGAUACCAGCUCUUGUGCGAUGUGUCUUACUAACUUAAUGUCUCGACGAGCAACACCGAAGAAAAUAUUCUCAGAUAAUGGCACAAAUUUCAACGGAGAAGGUGGGGAAGGAAGAACUAAAAAGGUGGACUUUGGAAAACUUCUUGUUAAAUAUGACCAGAUUAAGUUGCCCAAGAGAGAGUUGUAAUGCGAUAUCAACGGAAUGAUUUUUUAAAGCUCUUAAAAAUGUUCUAAAUCUAGUUUUCGACCUUGUUGCGAAUUUUUAAUCUAAAUGUUUCUUGAAGAUCAACGAUCAGAACAUGAAGAACGUAAUCGUCCGCUAUUAUAUAUUACAGUCGCCUUGCAUUUUAACAAUGUCAAUAUGUCAAGAGUAAGAUGGAACUUACAGCAAACUGGCGCAAAUUAGGGGCAACAGUCCGUUACUCACCUAUAUCCGCGCUCAAAUACAACUAUAUUUGCAAUCUUGUAUGGUAAACAAACGUAAUUUGCAAUUUUCAUUGCACCUUGUUUAAAAAUUGUCAAAAUUUUGUAGUCCUGAAAACGCUCUCUGUAGCUAAAGUGAUUUAAUAAAUUUUUAAAUAAAUGUGUAUGAUUUGCACUGAGAAUUGUUUAUGCAG